This is a ribosomal RNA of Cebus imitator (Panamanian white-faced capuchin), 119 nucleotides long. The record is from Ensembl. Lineage: Eukaryota; Metazoa; Chordata; Mammalia; Primates; Cebidae.
AUCCAUGGCCAUACCACCCUGAACGCACCCAGUCUCAUCUGAUCUUGGCUGCUAAGCAGGGUCGGGCCUGGUUAGUACUUGGAUGGGAGACCACCUGGGAAUACUGGGUGCUGUAGGCU